GUCUCACGGUAAGGCCCUUUCGGGGGUACACGAGUGGCGAACGGGUGAGUAACACGUGGGUAAUCUGCCCUGCACUUCGGGAUAAGCCUGGGAAACCGGGUCUAAUACCGGAUAUGAGCUCCUGCCGCAUGGUGGGGGUUGGAAAGUUUUUCGGUGCAGGAUGAGUCCGCGGCCUAUCAGCUUGUUGGUGGGGUAAUGGCCUACCAAGGCGACGACGGGUAGCCGGCCUGAGAGGGUGAUCGGCCACACUGGGACUGAGACACGGCCCAGACUCCUACGGGAGGCAGCAGUGGGGAAUAUUGCACAAUGGGCGAAAGCCUGAUGCAGCGACGCCGCGUGGGGGAUGACGGUCUUCGGAUUGUAAACUCCUUUCAGUAGGGACGAAGCGAAAGUGACGGUACCUGCAGAAGAAGCACCGGCCAACUACGUGCCAGCAGCCGCGGUAAUACGUAGGGUGCAAGCGUUGUCCGGAAUUACUGGGCGUAAAGAGCUCGUAGGCGGUUUGUCACGUCGUCUGUGAAAUCCUCCAGCUCAACUGGGGGCGUGCAGGCGAUACGGGCAGACUUGAGUACUACAGGGGAGACUGGAAUUCCUGGUGUAGCGGUGAAAUGCGCAGAUAUCAGGAGGAAC
Molecule: ribosomal RNA, 630 nt
Filed under: Dietzia cercidiphylli
Lineage: Bacteria; Bacillati; Actinomycetota; Actinomycetes; Mycobacteriales; Dietziaceae
Description: bacterial SSU rRNA
Rfam family: Bacterial small subunit ribosomal RNA
Source: RNAcentral